Molecule: RNase P RNA, 394 nt
Filed under: Hymenobacter sp. 5317J-9
Lineage: Bacteria; Pseudomonadati; Bacteroidota; Cytophagia; Cytophagales; Hymenobacteraceae
Description: Bacterial RNase P class A
Rfam family: Bacterial RNase P class A
About the family: Ribonuclease P (RNase P) is a ubiquitous endoribonuclease, found in archaea, bacteria and eukarya as well as chloroplasts and mitochondria. Its best characterised activity is the generation of mature 5'-ends of tRNAs by cleaving the 5'-leader elements of precursor-tRNAs.
Source: Rfam by way of RNAcentral
GUGAUGGGUCGCCCCACCGCGGCGCUUUCGGGCGACGAGGAAAGUCCGGGCAACGCAGAGCACCUUGCUUCCUAACGGGAAGGACUGGCGCAAGCCAGGACAGCGAGUGCCACAGAAAAUUACCGCCUACGUCGCCCUCGGGCGGCCGGUAAGGGUGAAAAGGUGCGGUAAGAGCGCACCAGCGGGCGGGUAACCGUCCCGGCUGGGUAAACCUCAGGGGUUGAAAGACCAAAUAAGCUGGUACGCCGGCUUCUUCGGAAGCAUCGGCACCGGGCGGCUCGUCCGGCGCCAGCGGGUAGGUUGAUGGAGCCUUUCCGCGAGGACUGGCCUAGAUAAAUGGUGGGGCAGCUGCCUCGGCAGCGGACAGAACCCGGCUUACAGACCCAUCACCCCA